CAGCAGCCGCGGGAAUACAGAGGGUGCGAGCGUUAAUCGGAUUUACUGGGCGUAAAGCGUGCGUAGGCGGCUUCUUAAGUCGGAUGUGAAAUCCCUGAGCUUAACUUAGGAAUUGCAUUCGAUACUGGGAAGCUAGAGUAUGGGAGAGGAUGGUAGAAUUCCAGGUGUAGCGGUGAAAUGCGUAGAGAUCUGGAGGAAUACCGAUGGCGAAGGCAGCCAUCUGGCCUAAUACUGACGCUGAGGUACGAAAGCAUGGGGAGCGAACAGGAUUAGAUACCCCCGUAGUCCCUGUCUCUUAUAC
RNAcentral lists this ribosomal RNA (301 nucleotides) under uncultured bacterium. RNAcentral describes it as "partial 16S ribosomal RNA". It matches the Rfam family "Bacterial small subunit ribosomal RNA", at positions 509 to 807 of the family's 1533-position model. The record is from RNAcentral.